This 546-nucleotide ribosomal RNA is filed under the name Crocodylus siamensis (Siamese crocodile). RNAcentral describes it as "partial large subunit ribosomal RNA". The stretch from base 191 to 546 matches the Rfam family "Bacterial large subunit ribosomal RNA", at positions 569 to 1065 of the family's 2925-position model. Lineage: Eukaryota; Metazoa; Chordata; Crocodylia; Crocodylidae. The record is from RNAcentral.
CAUGUUUACUUAAAUAAACCAUUUUGAUUAACCCGCUCUAGCCCUCAAAAUUCUAACACGAAUCAAAUAAAUCACACUAAACCAAAACAUUUUUAUGCCUAAGUAUCGGUGAGAGAAAAGACAACAGGCGCGAUAGAGACAGUACCGCAAGGGAAAGAUGAAAUAAAAAUUUAACACAAAAGUAUAACACAGCAAAGAUUAACCCUUUUACCUUUUGCAUUAUGGUUUAGCCAAACACAAUCGUGGCAAAGAGCACUAAAGUCACCUACACCCGAAUCUGGGCGAGCUACUAUGCAGCAGAAGUAACACAGCACUAACCCAUCUCUGUAGCAAAAGAGCGGGAAGACUGCCUAGUAGAAGUGAAAAGCCUAACGAGCCCAGUGAUAGCUGGUUGCUUGGGAACAGAAUAUAAGUUCUACUGAAAGCCUUCUGAUUUACCACCAACAAAGGACAAAGAAAGCUUUCAAGCUAUUUAAUGGGGGUACAGCCCCAUUAACACAGGACUCAACCUAUACCUAAGGGUAAAACUAAUUUGCACUUUAAAUG